AAUGUUCCUCUUGGUGAUGUUGUCAAGUCAAGACUAAAGCAAUUUUCAAUGAUGAACAGAUUCAAAAGAAAAGCCCUUAGGGUUAUUGCUGAUUUCUUGUCCAUUGAGGAAGUUGAAGACAUGAAAGAGAUGUUCAGGAAGAUGGAUACUGAUAAUGAUGGUAUUGUUUCAAUUGAAGAAUUGAAAGCUGGACUCCAAAAUUUUAACUCCCAGCUUGCAGAGUCUGAAGUUCAAAUGCUUAUUGAAUCUGUAAAUACUAAUGGGAAGGGUACAUUAGAUUAUGAGGAAUUUGUUGCUGUUUCCCUUCAUCUGCAAAGAAUGGCUAAUGAUGAGCAUCUUCGCAAGGCAUUUUCCUACUUUGACAAGGAUGGCAAUGGUUAUAUUGAACCAGAUGAGCUCCGAGAUGCCUUGAUGGAAGACGGUGCAGAUGAUUGUACAAGUGUAGCAAAUGACAUUUUCCAAGAGGUUGAUACAGACAAGGAUGGGAAGAUCAGCUAUGAUGAAUUUGUUGCAAUGAUGAAAACUGGGACAGAUUGGAGGAAGGCUUCCCGUCAUUAUUCCAGGGGGAGAUUUAACAGUCUAAGCAUCAAGUUGAUGAAGGAUGGCUCACUAAACUUGGGGAGUGAGUGAGGUAUAGACACAAGGUAUCACUUUUAAUUAAUCCAAGAAAGAAAGUUUAGGGUCAUUACUGUCCAUCCUAGGCGUGCCUUCUUCUGUGAUUAUUUUCUGGAGCCAUCUUGAUCAAGUGGGGCUCUUUUGCUUGGGAGCUUAGGACGUUAUGGAGGCUGAUUGCAUCCUCUCUCUCUCUCUCUCUUUCUCGCUUUCAGCAAAUGUUGAUUAUGUAAAAAUAGUGCUUCUGUAGUCUUGGUCCAGGAUAUAUGAUUCUGUCCAUUUAUCACUUCAACCUCUUGAUAAUUGUUUCCUGUUGACAUAGACAUGACAAUAUGAGUUUUGAAAUCCUUAGGGCUGUAGUAUAUUCUUGUUAAAGAGAGUUAAUGCGAUGAUACGAUCUGCAUUUUGUGAAAGCGAGAAAG
Molecule: unclassified non-coding RNA, 1034 nt
Filed under: Hevea brasiliensis (rubber tree)
Lineage: Eukaryota; Viridiplantae; Streptophyta; Magnoliopsida; Malpighiales; Euphorbiaceae
Source: RNAcentral